UACCUGCAGCCCGAGUGGUGGCCGUUAUUAUUGGGCCUAAAACGUCCGUAGCCUGUUUGGUAGAUGCCUGUGUAAAUCGAACGGCUUAACCGUUCGAACUGCGGGUAGACCGCCAGACUUGGGACCGGGAGAGUCACGAAGUACUCCGGGGGUAGAGGUGAAAUUCUGUAAUCCUCGGGGGACUACCGGUGGCGAGGGCGUCGUGAUAGAACGGCUCCGACGGUGAGGGACGAAGCCCUGGGGCGCAAACCGG
RNAcentral lists this ribosomal RNA (253 nucleotides) under uncultured bacterium. RNAcentral describes it as "partial 16S ribosomal RNA". It matches the Rfam family "Archaeal small subunit ribosomal RNA", at positions 474 to 727 of the family's 1478-position model. The record is from RNAcentral.